UUUGCUUCUCUGCCUUUUGGCUAAGAUCAAGUGUAGUAUCUGGCCUGCGCCAAGGCUCAAUAGGCUAAUCCUCCACCUUGU
Molecule: small nuclear RNA, 81 nt
Organism: Oryctolagus cuniculus (rabbit)
Lineage: Eukaryota; Metazoa; Chordata; Mammalia; Lagomorpha; Leporidae
Gene: U2
Rfam family: U2 spliceosomal RNA
About the family: U2 is a small nuclear RNA (snRNA) component of the spliceosome (involved in pre-mRNA splicing). Complementary binding between U2 snRNA (in an area lying towards the 5' end but 3' to hairpin I) and the branchpoint sequence (BPS) of the intron results the bulging out of an unpaired adenosine, on the BPS, which initiates a nucleophilic attack at the intronic 5' splice site, thus starting the first of two transesterification reactions that mediate splicing.
Source: Ensembl